AAUAGCUGGUUCUCCUCGAAAUAGCUUUAGGGCUAGCCUCGAUUAAGAGAUUGGCGGAGGUAGAGCACUGAAUGAGCUAGGGGGCCACAAAGCUUACCGAACUCUAUCAAACUCCGAAUACCGCGCAAUCGUUCAUCGGGAGUCAGACGGCGGGAGAUAAGUUUCGUCGUCAAAAGGGAAACAGCCCAGAUCAACAGCUAAGGUCCCCAAGUGUGUGUUAAGUGGGAAAGGAUGUGCAACCGCAGAGACAACCAGGAUGUUGGCUUAGAAGCAGCCACACAUUAAAAGAGUGCGUAAUAGCUCACUGGUCGAGUAGUUGUGCGCCGAAGAUGUAACGGGGCUAAAACACACCACCGAAGCUUUGGGAUCGCCGAAAGGUGAUCGGUAGAGGAGCAUUGUGUGCUGGGCGAAGCGGUACCGAAAGGAGCCGUGGACGGCACAGAAGAGAGAAUGCCGGUAUGAGUAGCGCGAGGCAUGCGAGAAACAUGCCCGUCGAUAGCCUAAGGUUUCCUGGGGAAGGCUCGUCCGCCCAGGGUAAGUCGGGACCUAAGCCGAGGACAGCGGUCGUAGGCGAUGGACAGCAGGUGGAGAUUCCUGCACUACCGAGGAUUGUUUGAGUGAAGCAGUGACACAGAAGGAUAGCCUGAGCAGGGUAAUGGUCAACCCUGUACAAGCGGUGAGGCUGGUGCGUAGUGAAGUACGCGCACUAAGGCUGGGCCGUGAUGUGGAGCGAAAUUAAAGUAGCGAAGCAGGUGAUUUCACACUGGCGAGAAAAGCUGCUGGCGAGAUCUGAGGUACCCGUACCGCAAACCGACACAGGUAGGCAAGGAGAGAAUCCUAAGACGAACGGGAGAACACUUGUUAAGGAACUCGGCAAAAUGACCCCGUAACUUCGGGAGAAGGGGUGCUGCAGAGAUGCAGCCGCAGAGAAGAGUCCCAAGCGACUGUUUAGCAAAAACACAGGUAUCUGCGAAAGCGAGAGCUGACGUAUAGGUGCUGACACCUGCCCGGUGCUGGAAGGUUAAGGGGAACUGUUAGAGCAAUCGAAGCAGAGAACCGAAGCCCCAGUAAACGGCGGCCGUAACUAUAACGGUCCUAAGGUAGCGAAAUUCCUUGUCGGGUAAGUUCCGACCCGCACGAAUGGUGUAACGACUUGGGAGCUGUCUCAACAAGUGGCCCGGUGAAAUUGAAGUAUGUGUGAAGAUGCACAUUACCCGCGACUGGACGGAAAGACCCCGUAGAGCUUUACUGCAGCCUGAUAUUGGAUUUUGGCAACAGAUGUACAGAAUAGGUGGGAGCCGGAGAAGGCAGGACGCCAGUCUUGCCGGAGGCGCCGUUGGGAUACCACUCUUUUGUUGCCGGAGUUCUAACCGUGGUGCGUCAUCCGCAUCAGGGACAGUGUCAGGUGGGCAGUUUGACUGGGGCGGUCGCCUCCUAAAAGGUAACGGAGGCGCUCAAAGGUAUCCUCAGAAUGGAUGGAAACCAUUCGGAGAGCGUAAAGGCAGAAGGAUGCCUGACUGCGAGAUUGACAAAUCGAGCAGAGAGGAAACUCGGACUUAGUGAC
RNAcentral lists this ribosomal RNA (1564 nucleotides) under human gut metagenome. Its description in RNAcentral is "bacterial LSU rRNA". It matches the Rfam family "Bacterial large subunit ribosomal RNA", at positions 844 to 2419 of the family's 2925-position model. The record is from RNAcentral.